CCCUUAGAGUUUGAUCCUGGCUCAGAUUGAACGCUGGCGGCAGGCCUAACACAUGCAAGUCGAGCGGUAACAGAUUGAUAGCUUGCUAUCAAUGCUGACGAGCGGCGGACGGGUGAGUAAUGCCUGGGAAUAUGCCCUGAUGUGGGGGAUAACUAUUGGAAACGAUAGCUAAUACCGCAUAAUCUCUUCGGAGCAAAGAGGGGGACCUUCGGGCCUCUCGCGUCAGGAUUAGCCCAGGUGGGAUUAGCUUGUUGGUGGGGUAAUGGCUUACCAAGGCAACGAUCCCUAGCUGGUCUGAGAGGAUGAUCAGCCACACUGGAACUGAGACACGGUCCAGACUCCUACGGGAGGCAGCAGUGGGGAAUAUUGCACAAUGGGGGAAACCCUGAUGCAGCCAUGCCGCGUGUAUGAAGAAGGCCUUCGGGUUGUAAAGUACUUUCAGUUGUGAGGAAGGCAGUAAAGUUAAUAGCUUUGCUGUUUGACGUUAGCAACAGAAGAAAGCACCGGCUAACUCCGUGC
RNAcentral lists this ribosomal RNA (519 nucleotides) under uncultured Photobacterium sp. RNAcentral's name for it is "bacterial SSU rRNA". It matches the Rfam family "Bacterial small subunit ribosomal RNA", at positions 1 to 508 of the family's 1533-position model. The record is from RNAcentral. Lineage: Bacteria; Pseudomonadati; Pseudomonadota; Gammaproteobacteria; Vibrionales; Vibrionaceae.